Molecule: long non-coding RNA, 1553 nt
Organism: Nicotiana tabacum (common tobacco)
Lineage: Eukaryota; Viridiplantae; Streptophyta; Magnoliopsida; Solanales; Solanaceae
Source: RefSeq, a predicted model, not a curated record
CAUAAUAUUUAUUGUAUGUGGUAGAUGUCUCAUUGACGCUGCCAUAUUGGAGAAAGGGUAAUAGAGAGGAAGACCUAGCCUGUCGUCAAUCCGCAAUAUAGCUCAAACAGUUGAGAAGCAAUUGGGAAAAGCUAUCAAGAUUGCGAGAUCUGAUCAUGGUGGGGAGUAUUAUGGAAGAUACACAGAAACUGGUCAACGCCUGAACCAUUUGCUAAAUAUCUUCACAAUAAUGGAAUCAUUGGCCAAGUAACCAUGCCCGCAGAUCUUGAGCAAAAUGGUGUGGUGGAAAGGCGUAACACAUUGAUGGAAAUGAAAAGAAACAUGAUGAGUCGGACCAAUAUACCAGAAUUCCUUUAGUGGUGAAGCUAUUAAGGCUGCUACAUAUAUCCUGAAUCGAGUUCCGAGUAAAGUUGUUCCUAAGACUCCUUUUGAGCUAUGGACUGGUAGAAAAUAAAGUUUGAAUCAUUUUCGAGUUUGGGGAUGUCCUGCAGAAGUUAACAUAUUUGAUUCGCUGCAAAAUAAUACCGAUCCUAGGACUAUUUGAUGUUAUUUCAUGAGAUACCCAGAUCAUUUAAAAGGGUACAUAUUUUAUUGUCCCUCUCGUGGCACUAGAAUUGUUGAAUCAUGGACUACUAAAUUUUUGGAGACUGAUUUUGCUUAUGGAAGUAACUCUGAGUCUAAUGAGCCAAGAGGAAGCAGUGCACAUGAUAUUGACCCUAUGGUGAUAGAAGAUGAGAAUAUUCAAGCUAAUGAUAAUUCGCUUCAUAGAUCACAAAGAGAGAGGAGAUCAGCUAUUUCUACUGACUAUCAAGUAUAUUUAGGUGAUACUGAUUAUGAUAUUGGCCAAAUUGAAGAUCCUGCAACAUAUAAUCAAGCUGUUAAUAGUCAUGAAUCUGAAAAAUGGCUUAUUGUUAUCAAAGAUGAGAUAAAGUCCAUGAAUGACAAUGGUGUCUAGAAUAUUAUUGAGUUACUGAGUGGGAACAAAUCAAUAAGUUGCAAAUGGGUUUACAAGACCAAGAAAGAUAGUCAUGGAAAUAUUGAUCGAUUUAAGGCUCGGUUGGUUGCAAAGGAUUUUACUUAGAAAGAAGAAAUUGAUUAUAAUUAGACUUUUUCUCUUUUAUCCACUAAAUAUGGUCUCAAAAUUAUCAUGGCAUUGGUGACUCAUUUUAACCUCGAGCUACACCAGAUGGAUGUUAAGACAACCUUUCUAAAUAGAGAGUUGUCUGAGAAGAUUUAUAUGAAACAUCCUGAAUGUUUCAUCGAAAGUGGAAAGGAACACUUAGUUUGUAUGUUAAAGAUGUCUAUAUAUGGUCUGAAUCAAGCUUCUCGUCAUUGGUAUUUGAAAUUUGAUAGUGUUAUGACAUCAUUUAGUUUUGUAGAGAACAAGUUUGAUGAAUGUAUCUAUUUGAAUAGUAGUGGGAGCAGAUUCAUUUUUCUUAUCCUCUAUGUUGAUGAUAUUCUACUAGACAGCAAUUAUUAUGGAUUGCUUUUUUAAACCAUACAAUUCUUGUAAAGACGCUUUGAGAUGAAAGAACUUGGAGAUGAUUCUUUUG